UGAGGAAUAUUGGUCAAUGGGCGCAAGCCUGAACCAGCCAUCCCGCGUGAAGGAAGAAUGCGCUAUGCGUUGUAAACUUCUUUUCCAGGGGAAUAAAAUUUCGUACGAGUACGGGACUGAAGGUACCUUGGGAAUAAGCAUCGGCUAACUCCGUGCCAGCAGCCGCGGUAAUACGGAGGAUGCGAGCGUUAUCCGGAUUUAUUGGGUUUAAAGGGUGCGUAGGCGUAAAAAUAAGUCAGUGGUGAAAACCUUCAGCUUAACUGGAGACUUGCCAGUGAUACUGUUAUUCGUGAGUAUAGUUAAGGUAGGCGGAAUGUGUAAGGUAGCGGUGAAAUGCUUAGAUAUUACACAGAACACCGAUUGCGAAGGCAGCUUACUGAGCUAUAACUGACGCUGAUGCACGAAAGCGUGGGGAGCGAACA
RNAcentral lists this ribosomal RNA (422 nucleotides) under uncultured prokaryote. Its description in RNAcentral is "bacterial SSU rRNA". It matches the Rfam family "Bacterial small subunit ribosomal RNA", at positions 355 to 774 of the family's 1533-position model. The record is from RNAcentral.